AUGAAGUCUCCGACGCGAUCGAGUGAUCGUACUCCCUUCAAAGACAUGUCGAACUCUACGAACCAAAGUGUCAUCGAUAUUAAUAAUGGAGGGGAACCUAUAGAUGUGAAAGAGCGCAAGCGGCAACGUGCUAGGGAACGAUAUGCGCAGAUGGAUGCAGAUAAAAAAGAUGAGCUACUUAAAAAGCGUCGUGAAGCCUAUCAACAAAAGAAAGCUCGACUAUUGGUUCAUUCCCAAGAGACAGAAUCAAGUCAAGAUACGUCAGUUGUUAAAGAACAAGAAGACACUUCUUGCAACAAGGAAAAUAUGGUUCCUCUUGAAGAUAAUGAGGGCUAUGGUCGCUUCUGCGCCACUCACGCACAGUCAUGA
Molecule: ribosomal RNA, 369 nt
Filed under: Triticum aestivum (bread wheat)
Lineage: Eukaryota; Viridiplantae; Streptophyta; Magnoliopsida; Poales; Poaceae
Description: partial small subunit ribosomal RNA
Source: RNAcentral